GAUGGGCACAGUGGCGCGUGCCUGUAGUCCCAGCUAUUCGGGAGGCUGAGGCUGGAGGAUCCCUUGAGCCCAGGAGUUCUGGGCUGUAAUGCACUAUGCCGAUCGGGUGUCCGAAAUAAGUUCGGCAUCAAUAUGGUAACCUCCUGGGAGCAGGGGACCACCAGAUUGCCUAAGGAGGGGUGAACCAGCCCAGGUCAGAAAUGGAGGAGGUCAAAACUCCCAUGCUGAUCAGUAGUGGGAUCAUGCCUGUGAAUAGCCACUGCACUCCAGCCUGGGCAACAUAGCAAGACCCUGCAUCU
This 299-nucleotide signal recognition particle RNA is filed under the name Saimiri boliviensis boliviensis (Bolivian squirrel monkey). RNAcentral describes it as "Metazoan signal recognition particle RNA (ENSSBOG00000007263.1)". It matches the Rfam family "Metazoan signal recognition particle RNA". From Rfam's summary of the family: The signal recognition particle (SRP) is a universally conserved ribonucleoprotein. The record is from RNAcentral. Lineage: Eukaryota; Metazoa; Chordata; Mammalia; Primates; Cebidae.